Molecule: small nuclear RNA, 184 nt
Organism: Perognathus longimembris pacificus (Pacific pocket mouse)
Lineage: Eukaryota; Metazoa; Chordata; Mammalia; Rodentia; Heteromyidae
Product: U2 spliceosomal RNA
Exons: 1
Source: RefSeq, a predicted model, not a curated record
AUUGCUGCUUGGCCAUUGGGGCUAAGAGCAAGUGUAGUAUCUGUUCUUACCAUUUUAAUAUCUGGCAACUCUUCUAUCAGAGCAUAAUAUAUUAAAUGGAUUCUUAGAAUCAGAAGAUGGAAUAGGAACUUUAUCCAUCUCCCUCACACAUUGCCUUGAUACUUGCUGGAAUAGUUCAUGCUCU